GUAGUCCACGCCGUAAACGAUGGGCGCUAGGUGUCGGGGGUAUCGACCCCUCCGGUGCCACAGCUAACGCGCUAAGUGCCCCGCCUGGGGACUACGGCCGCAAGGCUAAAACUCAAAGGAAUUGGCGGGGCCCGCACAAGCAGCGGAGCGUGUGGUUUAAUUCGACGCAACGCGAAGAACCUUACCUGGGCUUGACAUGCGCGUGGUACGAGGGGGAAACCUUGAGGACCCGCAAGGGAGCGCGCACAGAUGCUGCAUGGCUGUCGUCAGCUCGUGCCGUGAGGUGUUGGGUUAAG
RNAcentral lists this ribosomal RNA (296 nucleotides) under uncultured bacterium. Its description in RNAcentral is "partial 16S ribosomal RNA". It matches the Rfam family "Bacterial small subunit ribosomal RNA", at positions 790 to 1084 of the family's 1533-position model. The record is from RNAcentral.